GCCUGGCUGGCUCAGUAGGAAUAGCAUGUGACUCUUGAUCUUGGGGUCAUGAGUUCGAGCCCUAUGCUGGGUG
Molecule: non-coding RNA, 73 nt
Organism: Ailuropoda melanoleuca (giant panda)
Lineage: Eukaryota; Metazoa; Chordata; Mammalia; Carnivora; Ursidae
Source: Rfam